GUUGAUCCUGCCAAGUAUUAUAUGCUGAUGUUAAAGAUUAAGCCAUGCAUGUGUAAGUUUAAAGACCAAGUAGGAUGAAACUGCGGACGGCUCAUUAUAACAGUAAUAGUUUAUUUGAUGAAAUGUACUACUUGGAUAACCGUAGUAAUUCUAGAGCUAAUACAUGAUCGUCUCCUCGACUUUGAAGAGGUGUAUUUAUUAGAAUGAAAACCAAUAGACUUUGUCUGUUUGUGAGUAAUAAUAACUUGUCAUAUCGCAUGCUUUUGUAGCGAUGUGUCUUUUAAGUUUCUGCCCUAUCAGCUUUCGAUGGUAGUGUAUUGGACUACCAUGGCAGUAACGGGUAACGAAGAAUUUGGGUUCGAUUUCGGAGAGGGAGCCUGAGAGAUGGCUACCUCAUCCAAGGAAGGCAGCAGGCGCGUAAAUUACCCAAUCCUGACACAGGGAGGUAGUGACAAUAAAUCACAAUGCGGAACAUUUGUUUUGCAAUUGGAUUGAGAACAACGCACAACACUUAUCGAUAAACAAUUGGAGGGCAAGUCUGGUGCCAGCAGCCGCGGUAAUUCCAGCUCCAAUAG
RNAcentral lists this ribosomal RNA (575 nucleotides) under Blastocystis sp. RNAcentral's name for it is "SSU rRNA". It matches the Rfam family "Eukaryotic small subunit ribosomal RNA", at positions 7 to 597 of the family's 1831-position model. The record is from RNAcentral. Lineage: Eukaryota; Bigyra; Opalinata; Blastocystidae.